GCACGAAGGGGGGGGGCGAGGGGCAGAGGCCGCUCAGCGAGCGGCGGGCGCGCCGGGCCGCCGCCGCGGGAGCUGCGAGAGAGGAGGAGGGUCCCGGGGGCUCCUCACGGCGGGGCUGGGAGGCGGCUGCUGGCGGGGCUGCGCCGGCGGGGUGCGUCCCCGCUCAGCGCCUGCAUCCAUCCUGCGGCGGGGCGCCGGGCAGCGGGGCCGACAUGGAGCACCGCGAGCGGGGCCGGGACCGAGGGAGGCAGCGAGGGAGGGACGGAGGGAGAGGGGGGGGAAAAACCCCGAGCCGCGGCCCCGGGGCUCAGCCCCGCCUCGCAGCGGCGCCCAUGGCGGCCGCGGCCUCCGCCCGCCGCUCGGCGGCCACCGCCCGCGCCAGGCCGCGCUCCCCCAACGGCGGCGGCCUCGCGGGGAGCCCGGAACCCCUCCCGGUCCUCCUGGUCCUGCCGCCUCCGCCGCCGCCCCCCGCCCGCAGCCGCCCUCACCGGAGGCCGCCCAGCCGCCGCAGGUGAGCCGAGUCCCGGCGGGGCGGGGAGGCGGGCGCGCAGCGCAGCGGAGCCGCCCCGGGGCCGUCUGGGCGCUAAAUGGCGCCGGGCGCCCGAAACCGACACACGGCGGGGGGGGCGGGGAGGGGGGAGCGCCGCACAACACGCCCCCUUCCGCGCCCGCUACUGCGCGUGCGCGCCCGCGCCCCCCCCAACCCCCCCCCGCCGGGAUAGCGGAGCGUCCGCUCUGGCCGCCCCGCCCGCCGGGUGCUCGGGGAGAUUGCGGCGCCCGCCGUGCGCGGAGCUUCAUGGGAGUUGUAGUUUUUUGGGGGGGGGGGCGGCUGCGCCUGUAAGGCCGCAAAGGAGGUUAUGGGGGAACCGCUUCCUCCACAGGGGGAAGGAGGGUGAUGUGGGGCGCGGGGGAAUGGACCGCGGCUCUCCCUCCUUCACGCGGGGACAGCACUCACCCGCUGGGUGGGAGCGGGCGGUGGUACCACCACAGAGCAGAUGCCAGAGGAAUGGGGAAGGCGGCCAACCAUGGGCGCCACAGAACCCAUGUUGCAACCCUUGGGAGCGUGAGGUGUUCAGCUCCACGUCUUCACACUGCCUCCCUGCCUCGCUGCUUCGAAAUUUCCAGCAAAGAUAA
Molecule: long non-coding RNA, 1134 nt
Filed under: Anser brachyrhynchus (Pink-footed goose)
Lineage: Eukaryota; Metazoa; Chordata; Aves; Anseriformes; Anatidae
Description: lncRNA (ENSABRG00000016919.1)
Source: RNAcentral